RNAcentral lists this ribosomal RNA (274 nucleotides) under uncultured bacterium. RNAcentral describes it as "partial 16S ribosomal RNA". It matches the Rfam family "Bacterial small subunit ribosomal RNA", at positions 523 to 796 of the family's 1533-position model. The record is from RNAcentral.
AUACAGAGGGUGCGAGCGUUAAUCGGAAUUACUGGGCGUAAAGCGCGCGUAGGCGGCUUGGUCAGUCGGAUGUGAAAGCCCUGGGCUCAACCUGGGAAUUGCAUUCGAUACUGCCAAGCUAGAGUAUGGGAGAGGGAAGUGGAAUUUCCGGUGUAGCGGUGAAAUGCGUAGAUAUCGGAAAGAACACCAGUGGCGAAGGCGACUUCCGGGCCCAAUACUGACGCUGAGGUGCGAAAGCGUGGGGAGCGAACAGGAUUAGAAACCCUAGUAGUCC